AAGUAAGUGCUUAAGGGCGCAUGGUGGAUGCCUUGGCAUCGAGAGCCGAUGAAGGACGUGGGAGGCUGCGAUAUGCCUCGGGGAGCUGUCAACCGAGCGUGGAUCCGAGGAUUUCCGAAUGGGGAAACCCAGCACGAGUGAUGUCGUGUUACCCGUAUCUGAAUAUAUAGGGUGCGGGAGGGAACGCGGGGAA
This 193-nucleotide ribosomal RNA is filed under the name Mycobacterium haemophilum. RNAcentral describes it as "partial 23S large subunit ribosomal RNA". It matches the Rfam family "Bacterial large subunit ribosomal RNA", at positions 1 to 192 of the family's 2925-position model. Lineage: Bacteria; Bacillati; Actinomycetota; Actinomycetes; Mycobacteriales; Mycobacteriaceae. The record is from RNAcentral.